Molecule: unclassified non-coding RNA, 175 nt
Filed under: soil metagenome
Description: partial internal transcribed spacer 1
Source: RNAcentral
CAGAGUGUAAAAACUCCCUAACCCUUUGUGAAUCUACCUCAUUCGUUGCCUUCGGUAGGCGGGCCCGGGGCAACCAGGCACGCCGGAUCCCCUAUCGUGGUGCCGGCAAGCCGUCAGACGGCCCGAAACUCUGUAAUUACUGUGCUUAUUCUGAGUGAACUAUACAAUAAGAUCA